This is a long non-coding RNA of Lolium perenne, 3294 nucleotides long. RefSeq lists it as uncharacterized. The record is from RefSeq and is a predicted model, not a curated record. Lineage: Eukaryota; Viridiplantae; Streptophyta; Magnoliopsida; Poales; Poaceae.
CCAGCUAGGCUAGUGGGAUUGCCUCGUCGUCCAGCUUCGCGAGUCUGCGCUGGCGUAGGGAAGACUAUGAACACAUCGUUGACACCGGAGCGCAAGGCGCACAACAGUCUCCUGCUCCUCCCGUGGUGUGGGAUCUGUGGCAUGAGCCGACGACGUUGGCUACCCUUCCUCCUCCUCCUCCUCCUGUGCUGCCGGUAUAUUGUCUGUUGCUGCCGGUGUAGACCUAGCCAUGGGGAAUACCGGAGAUCAUCGAUUCGCCGUCGCCGACGACUUAGCCCCCGUCCCCCGCAUCGUCAUAUGUCCAACUACGACCCCCCACGGCGGCAACAUCGUCCGCGUACCUGGUGGUGGUGGUCGACCACGCGCUCUGGGGCCUCAACCUCGGCCACCAGUCCGACCCACAGCGGCCUCCUCAGCGCCGCGGGGUGGGUGCUCGACCUCCUCCGAGGCUUGCUGGACUGGUACUCGGGCUACAUACUCACCUCUCUCGUCGCUCGUCGUGCUCAACCUCGACAAGCAUCAGGUGCAUGUCUCUCAACCACGCUGUAAUCAAUCUGUCAUGCCUCUGCGUCAAAUUCAGUACUGCACUAGAAUUUACACCAACUGGUGCUUGAACUUUUCCAAAUUGCUACUACUGUCAGACUACAUACUCUGUUGAAACAUCCAAAGUGGCUAUGUGCACCAGGCUGGAUGUAGCGCGUCGUGGAAAGGAAAAGUUUCUCACAUAUUGUUAAUGGAUAAUGGCAGAGGUUCUCACAUAUUCCAGACGUAGAGAGAGCGAAUUACUUGCUCCAUUUUGUUCCGAUAACUUGCUCCUCUGGGAUCCAUCAGAGAAGUAUGCAACCCGGCGCUCUCAUGCCACCGUAUGCUUUGCUAAUAUUAUACUACUUCUUCAGUCGUCUAAUAAGUCAAAUAUACCAUCGAAAUAUACUAUAACUUCAUGGCUCAAGUCUCUGAUGGAAAUAUAAUAGCAGCCCGGACAUGUUAAUUUGAAGUAAAAAGAUGCAUUUAAUUGUUAUUAACUGUCAACCAGGGGUCUGUGGUCUUGUUCCCACAAAAGAAAAACAGGGCAUCUCUCUUACAUAGGAUAAUCUAAAAACAUAAGAUUUUCUUCAAAAGUAUCAGACGUGUGGUAAUUUGAUAAGAUAGAUCCUGUCUCCAAAAGGAUCUUCAUUCAACUUCGAGUUACCCACUAUAAAGGGUGUGCCAGGAUAGAUUGCAUGCAAACUUUGUAAGCAACUGCCUUUGCUAGUUAUUUCUUCUGUUGGGUUAUUGCUCUGUGCUUUUGUAAAAUGACUUGAGGAUUAAAUAGCUUAAGUUCUGCUGUUGCUAGACCAAAUAAUUAAAAUGGGUUGUAGCUCUUUGGCACAAGAUGAUGCCUGUUUUAAUGAUAGAGGAAGCAUCGUACUUUGAAGUUUGAUCUACCUCAGAUCUGGAACAUUGAAUUAGAAGGCUUUCUUGUUCUUCUGCACCCGCAUAGUGCUGUUUUUCUGAUCUUCGUUUUUGCAUGAUGCGGAUCCUACAUAUUUCCUCAAAAUGUUGCUUACAGUAAGAAAUGUUUUAAUCUGAUUAUUAUUUAGCAACUCCAAAAAUGGCAACAAGAUUGGCUUCCUGUUGACCAAAAACAGUUCUUGCUAAACUGGCUUCCAUAACUCACAGGGAUGGCCUUUGAGGAUUGGAUCUCUUUCCACUGCCUUUUAGCUAUGUCACAUUGCUCAAGGUCGCAAAUAUCACUAGUGGUGGGUGGUCUCAGGUGGUAAAAGAUGGUCGAGUUAUAUAAGUUUCUUUAUUCUGCAUCUGUGUGAGACCAAUGAUUUAAAUGAAAAUAGUGGAAGAUCAGGGUUCAGCUAGAGUGCCUGACGAGAACUCUGUCAUCUAUUUUUCUCCAAGUAUGGUUUGCGAAUCUGGAUGAAAUUACUGAAGGGUGUGAUCUGACCUGGAAAUUGUUCAUCAUUAAAGAUGUGCCCUCCCUGGACGAGCUAUACUUGACAGUGUGCGGUCACCUGUGUAAAAUGGAAGUGAAUGAGGAGAGCACUCUUGUUUAGUGAGAAGGUGCAGAAUGUAAUCUUUGGUUAUCUAUUCUACAACACCACAGCCUGCCUCUGGCAUUCAUUAUGAGAAGUUCACGGUGAAGCUAGAGGAUGUGUUCCGGCAUCAUAGCCGGGCGUGUAAGAGUGCCACACUGCCACCGAAGCCGUUCAGGUCUGUGGACCAAGGGGCAGAGGUCUUCAGGGAAGAAUAGAAUGACAGACGGGUAGCAAAUCUUUGAUGCUUCGCUCUUCACUCGAGACCGGAAUCAUGAUAGAUUUUGAAGCGGAGGGUUAAAAAAAGGCUCUGCAACUCGGUUAUCUGAAUCCCUGAAAAGAAAUAUCUGCAACUCUGCAAGAUGAUGGGUGGAUUCACCAUAUGAAGACUCAAGAAGCACCCUUGGAACAUUGUACAUUCAAGGUAAUCACACUCACAGUGCUGCCCAUGUAGCAAGUACAGCAGCUUCAGCCUUCAGGUCAUACAUCUAAACACGAGGUGUCGGGCUCCUGGAACUCUGAGUGCAGCUACAGAAUUCAAAGCAGUUCGGGGAUUCAGGUUUCCAUCCUUGCAGCUCAUAUGUGAUGUCUAAGAUUUAGGGUCAACCAGGGUGCUUGACAAAAAGUGCGGCAUCUUUUUUUUUCUCCCACUAAGGUUUGCGAAUCUAAAUGAAAUUACUGAAGGGUAUGACCUCGCCUGAAUAUUGUUCAUCCUUGAAGCUGCUCCCUCGCCAGAAGGACCUUUAGUUUGACAGUGUGCGUUCUGGGAUCGGCUGCGUAAAAGGGAAACGGAUGAUGAAGAGAAGAGGAUCUUGCAAAGAUGAAGUUUUUGGUGUCUUCAGCUUAAGGUAUUUUGUCACUCGGUUGUGCCACGAGCAACGACAGCCAUGCACACAAGAUGACUGGGCUUGGGUCCAUGGGCUUGGGUCCAUGGGCCGUGACUGGGCUGGUGGCUACAAAACCAGCGAUGUACAACAAGAUGGCUGGCUGGGCGUCGUGUCGAACAGGAAGAACUGAACCUGUCUCCUUCCUCUGUCCUCCUUCUGUUCUUCUCUGGAUCUUCUUCGUCCUCAAGGGUGUAGAUACUCUCUACAGGCGGCAUGUAUCCAUCUCACGUCCCGGCGAUUGUUGAACGCACUGCUGCUACUGUUGUAACUUCCCCUCCUUCUCUCUAGCUUGGACCUAGUCCCACGCCUCGCACGCCUCUGCGUGGGCCUCUGCGCAUGGCACACGAUCCCCUCUGUACUGUAUAAGACCCUUGCGUCAGUUA